This 539-nucleotide ribosomal RNA is filed under the name Botryosphaeria dothidea. RNAcentral describes it as "eukaryotic LSU rRNA". The stretch from base 166 to 319 matches the Rfam family "5.8S ribosomal RNA". Lineage: Eukaryota; Fungi; Ascomycota; Dothideomycetes; Botryosphaeriales; Botryosphaeriaceae. The record is from RNAcentral.
GCUCGGCCCGAUCCUCCCACCCUUUGUGUACCUACCUCUGUUGCUUUGGCGGGCCGCGGUCCUCCGCGGCCGCCCCCCUCCCCGGGGGGGUGGCCAGCGCCCGCCAGAGGACCAUCAAACUCCAGUCAGUAAACGAUGCAGUCUGAAAAACAUUUAAUAAACUAAAACUUUCAACAACGGAUCUCUUGGUUCUGGCAUCGAUGAAGAACGCAGCGAAAUGCGAUAAGUAAUGUGAAUUGCAGAAUUCAGUGAAUCAUCGAAUCUUUGAACGCACAUUGCGCCCUUUGGUAUUCCGAAGGGCAUGCCUGUUCGAGCGUCAUUACAACCCUCAAGCUCUGCUUGGUAUUGGGCACCGUCCUUUGCGGGCGCGCCUCAAAGACCUCGGCGGUGGCGUCUUGCCUCAAGCGUAGUAGAACAUACAUCUCGCUUCGGAGCGCAGGGCGUCGCCCGCCGGACGAACCUUCUGAACUUUUCUCAAGGUUGACCUCGGAUCAGGUAGGGAUACCCGCUGAACUUAAGCAUAUCAAUAAAGCGGAGGA